Molecule: transfer RNA, 75 nt
Filed under: Aeromonadales bacterium
Lineage: Bacteria; Pseudomonadati; Pseudomonadota; Gammaproteobacteria; Aeromonadales
Description: tRNA-Gln
Rfam family: tRNA
About the family: Transfer RNA (tRNA) molecules are approximately 80 nucleotides in length. Their secondary structure includes four short double-helical elements and three loops (D, anti-codon, and T loops). Further hydrogen bonds mediate the characteristic L-shaped molecular structure. tRNAs have two regions of fundamental functional importance: the anti-codon, which is responsible for specific mRNA codon recognition, and the 3' end, to which the tRNAs corresponding amino acid is attached (by aminoacyl-tRNA synthetases). tRNAs cope with the degeneracy of the genetic code in two manners: having more than one tRNA (with a specific anti-codon) for a particular amino acid; and 'wobble' base-pairing, i.e. permitting non-standard base-pairing at the 3rd anti-codon position.
Source: RNAcentral
AGGGGCGUCGCCAAGCGGCAAGGCACUUGGUUUUGAUCCAAGCAUUCGUAGGUUCGAAUCCUGCCGCCCCUGCCA